Molecule: non-coding RNA, 710 nt
Organism: Oryctolagus cuniculus (rabbit)
Lineage: Eukaryota; Metazoa; Chordata; Mammalia; Lagomorpha; Leporidae
Source: RefSeq, a predicted model, not a curated record
GGCAACUUCAGGAACGCAAAAACUUGAAUAGCAUCUACUAAAUACAUAAUUUGCUCAAGGGAGAAAAGUAACCUCUGAUGGGGGACAACAAACCACUCUAAUCCUUGACACUUAGUAGGACCUCACUACAAAUAACUGUUGAAUAAAUGCUAAGUGGCUAUCACAAUGUUCCUCCUUAAUAAGGAGGUGCUGUCUACCUAUUUCGUCCCUUUACACAGAACAAGCAUUUUAAUUCAGAACUACCCUGAGUUUGUUGGAGCUCAAAAUUCCUUCAUAGGCCCUGGUGCCAAAUUCCAGAUUGCGUUUUUAACAGGUCUGGAUGGCGUCGGGCAGAAGCCCAACCAUGACAAUAAGUAAGCAAAUGUUUUUAUUACAGGAAACAUUUUAAAGUACAAUAACAUUUUAAAGCUGGUUUUCAGGCUCUACCUUCCCUUUUGUUGCCAUUUACCACAGGAAAAGCGGUCAGAAUUCGCUUCUCAGCAUGGAAACCACUGCUCCGGAAGCCUAAGUACUGAGGGGCAUUGGUUUAGGUGUCUUCUACAUUGGAGGUAAGUUAUAGAUCUUAAAUGUCAGUUAGACAACACACACAAAAUAACGAGUAAGUGCUCCCCCCAACACACACACACACACACACACACACACACACACACAGAUGUUCUAAUACUGAACACACCAGGUGGCCACCCCGGCUAGUCUAGGAAGCUCCAUUU